GACGUAGGAGACGAGCGUUAUCCGGAAUUACUGGGCGUAAAGAGCGUGUAGGCGGAAGGACAAGUUGGUCGUGAAAGCUUCCGGCUAAACUGGGAGAGGUCGAUCAAGACUGUUUUUCUAGAGUUCGACAGAGGGGUAUGGAAUUCCGGGUGUAGUGGUGAAAUGCGUAGAGAUCCGGAGGAACACCAGUGGCGAAGGCGAUGCCCUGGGUCGAAACUGACGCUAAGACGCGAAAGCAUGGGGAGCGAACGGG
This 253-nucleotide ribosomal RNA is filed under the name uncultured bacterium. Its description in RNAcentral is "partial 16S ribosomal RNA". It matches the Rfam family "Bacterial small subunit ribosomal RNA", at positions 524 to 776 of the family's 1533-position model. The record is from RNAcentral.